RNAcentral lists this ribosomal RNA (481 nucleotides) under uncultured bacterium. RNAcentral's name for it is "partial 16S ribosomal RNA". It matches the Rfam family "Bacterial small subunit ribosomal RNA", at positions 30 to 507 of the family's 1533-position model. The record is from RNAcentral.
AUUGAACGCUGGCGGCAUGCUUUACACAUGCAAGUCGAACGGUAACAGGCCGCAAGGUGCUGACGAGUGGCGAACGGGUGAGUAAUGCAUCGGAACGUGCCCAGUCGUGGGGGAUAACUACUCGAAAGAGUAGCUAAUACCGCAUACGAUCUAUGGAUGAAAGCGGGGGACCGUAAGGCCUCGCGCGAUUGGAGCGGCCGAUGUCAGAUUAGGUAGUUGGUGGGGUAAAGGCUCACCAAGCCAACGAUCUGUAGCUGGUCUGAGAGGACGACCAGCCACACUGGGACUGAGACACGGCCCAGACUCCUACGGGAGGCAGCAGUGGGGAAUUUUGGACAAUGGGCGCAAGCCUGAUCCAGCAAUGCCGCGUGCAGGAAGAAGGCCUUCGGGUUGUAAACUGCUUUUGUACGGAACGAAACGGCUCUGGUUAAUACCCGGGGCUAAUGACGGUACCGUAAGAAUAAGCACCGCUAACUACGUG